AUUGAACGCUGGCGGCAUGCCUUACACAUGCAAGUCGAACGGCAGCACGGGUGCUUGCACCUGGUGGCGAGUGGCGAACGGGUGAGUAAUACAUCGGCACGUACCUUAUCGUGGGGGAUAACGCAGCGAAAGCUGUGCUAAUACCGCAUACGCCCUGAGGGGGAAAGCGGGGGAUCGAAAGACCUCGCGCGAUUAGAGCGGCCGAUGCCUGAUUAGCUUGUUGGUGGGGUAAAAGCCCACCAAGGCGACGAUCAGUAGCUGGUCUGAGAGGACGAUCAGCCACACUGGGACUGAGACACGGCCCAGACUCCUACGGGAGGCAGCAGUGGGGAAUUUUGGACAAUGGGGGCAACCCUGAUCCAGCAAUGCCGCGUGAGUGAAGAAGGCCUUCGGGUUGUAAAGCUCUUUUGUCAGGGAAGAGACACCGGCUCUAACACAGUCCGGGAAUGACGGUACCUGAAGAAUAAGCACCGGCUAACUACGUGCCAGCCGCCGCCGUAA
Molecule: ribosomal RNA, 501 nt
Filed under: uncultured bacterium
Lineage: Bacteria
Description: partial 16S ribosomal RNA
Rfam family: Bacterial small subunit ribosomal RNA
Source: RNAcentral